RNAcentral lists this transfer RNA (90 nucleotides) under Fusarium oxysporum f. sp. raphani 54005. It matches the Rfam family "tRNA". From Rfam's summary of the family: Transfer RNA (tRNA) molecules are approximately 80 nucleotides in length. Their secondary structure includes four short double-helical elements and three loops (D, anti-codon, and T loops). Further hydrogen bonds mediate the characteristic L-shaped molecular structure. tRNAs have two regions of fundamental functional importance: the anti-codon, which is responsible for specific mRNA codon recognition, and the 3' end, to which the tRNAs corresponding amino acid is attached (by aminoacyl-tRNA synthetases). tRNAs cope with the degeneracy of the genetic code in two manners: having more than one tRNA (with a specific anti-codon) for a particular amino acid; and 'wobble' base-pairing, i.e. permitting non-standard base-pairing at the 3rd anti-codon position. The record is from Rfam by way of RNAcentral. Lineage: Eukaryota; Fungi; Ascomycota; Sordariomycetes; Hypocreales; Nectriaceae.
GGCCGGUUAGCUUAAUGGUUAAAGGACCGUUCUGACUAGUGUUACACGCAGACGAAGCGGAGGAUCCGGGUUCGAGUCCCGGGCCGGCCA